Molecule: ribosomal RNA, 254 nt
Filed under: uncultured bacterium
Lineage: Bacteria
Description: partial 16S ribosomal RNA
Rfam family: Bacterial small subunit ribosomal RNA
Source: RNAcentral
UACGGGGGGAGCAAGCGUUGUUCGGAUUUACUGGGCGUAAAGGGCGCGUAGGCGGCCACCGCAAGUCGACUGUGAAAUCUCCGGGCUUAACCCGGAAAGGUCAGCCGAUACUGCGGGGCUAGAGUGCAGAAGGGGCAACUGGAAUUCUCGGUGUAGCGGUGAAAUGCGUAGAGAUGUGGAGGAACACCGAUGGCGAAGGCAGCCCCCUGGGCCAAUACUGACGCUCAUGCACGAAAGCGUGGGGAGCAAACAGG